UACCCGCAGCUCAAGUGGUGGUCAUUAUUAUUGGGCCUAAAGCGUCCGUAGCUGGCUUGUUAGAUGCCUGGGUAAAUCGAUGCGCUUAACGUAUCGAAUUCCGGGUAGACCGGCAAGCUCGAGACCGGGAGAGGUGUAGGCUACUCGAGGGGUAGGGGUAAAAUCCUGUAAUCCUUCGGGGAGGACCAGUGGCGAAGGCGCUACACUAGAACGGCUCUGACAGUGAGGGACGAAGCCCUGGGGCGCGAACCGG
Molecule: ribosomal RNA, 253 nt
Filed under: uncultured bacterium
Lineage: Bacteria
Description: partial 16S ribosomal RNA
Rfam family: Archaeal small subunit ribosomal RNA
Source: RNAcentral